UGCAGUCGAGCGGACAGAUGGGAGCUUGCUCCCUGAUGUUAGCGGCGGACGGGUGAGUAACACGUGGGUAACCUGCCUGUAAGACUGGGAUAACUCCGGGAAACCGGGGCUAAUACCGGAUGGUUGUUUGAACCGCAUGGUUCAGACAUAAAAGGUGGCUUCGGCUACCACUUACAGAUGGACCCGCGGCGCAUUAGCUAGUUGGUGAGGUAACGGCUCACCAAGGCAACGAUGCGUAGCCGACCUGAGAGGGUGAUCGGCCACACUGGGACUGAGACACGGCCCAGACUCCUACGGGAGGCAGCAGUAGGGAAUCUUCCGCAAUGGACGAAAGUCUGACGGAGCAACGCCGCGUGAGUGAUGAAGGUUUUCGGAUCGUAAAGCUCUGUUGUUAGGGAAGAACAAGUGCCGUUCAAAUAGGGCGGCACCUUGACGGUACCUAACCAGAAAGCCACGGCUAACUACGUGCCAGCAGCCGCGGUAAUACGUAGGUGGCAAGCGUUGUCCGGAAUUAUUGGGCGUAAAGGGCUCGCAGGCGGUUUCUUAAGUCUGAUGUGAAAGCCCCCGGCUCAACCGGGGAGGGUCAUUGGAAACUGGGGAACUUGAGUGCAGAAGAGGAGAGUGGAAUUCCACGUGUAGCGGUGAAAUGCGUAGAGAUGUGGAGGAACACCAGUGGCGAA
This 680-nucleotide ribosomal RNA is filed under the name Bacillus sp. (in: firmicutes). RNAcentral describes it as "bacterial SSU rRNA". It matches the Rfam family "Bacterial small subunit ribosomal RNA", at positions 56 to 719 of the family's 1533-position model. Lineage: Bacteria; Bacillati; Bacillota; Bacilli; Caryophanales; Bacillaceae. The record is from RNAcentral.